GUCGAGGAUCUUCCGCAAUGGGGGCAACCCUGACGGAGCGACGCCGCGUGCAGGAUGAAGGCCUUCGGGUCGUAAACUGCUGUCACACGUUAUGAAAAAGUGCGGGCUAAUACUCCGCACCUUGACAAAGGCGUGAAAGGAAGCCACGGCUAACUUCGUGCCAGCAGCCGCGGUAAGACGAAGGUGGCUAGCGUUGCUCGGAAUUACUGGGCAUAAAGCGCGCGUAGGUGGUCCUGUAAGCGGGGGAUGAAAGCCCAUGGCUCACCCAUGGAACUGUCCCUCGGACUGCAGGGCUGGAGGGCGGGAGGGGAGAAUGGAAUUCCCGGUGUAGCGGUGAAAUGCGUAGAUAUCGGGAGGAACGCCGGUGGCGAAAGCGAUUCUCUGGUCCGCUCCUGACACUGAGGCGCGAGAGCUAGGGGAGCAAACAGGAUUAGAUACCCUGGUAGUCC
This 449-nucleotide ribosomal RNA is filed under the name uncultured bacterium. RNAcentral's name for it is "bacterial SSU rRNA". It matches the Rfam family "Bacterial small subunit ribosomal RNA", at positions 354 to 796 of the family's 1533-position model. The record is from RNAcentral.